GGAGGCCGAGGCAGGUGGAUCACGAGGUCAGGAGAUCGAGACCAUCCUGGCUAACAUGAUGAAACCCCGUCUCUACUAAAAAUUCAAAAAAAAUUAGCAGGGCGUGGUGGCGGGCGCCCGUAGUCCCAGCUACUGGGGAGGCUGAGGCAGGAGAAUGGCGUGAACCCGCGAGGUGGAGAUUGCAGUGAGCCGAGAUUGCGCCAUUGCACUCCAGCCUGGGC
This 221-nucleotide long non-coding RNA is filed under the name Homo sapiens (human). RNAcentral's name for it is "HSALNT0312523". The record is from RNAcentral. Lineage: Eukaryota; Metazoa; Chordata; Mammalia; Primates; Hominidae.